Non-coding RNA from Linepithema humile (Argentine ant), 1809 nucleotides. NCBI's taxonomy places the organism in Eukaryota, Metazoa, Arthropoda, Insecta, Hymenoptera, Formicidae. The record is from RefSeq and is a predicted model, not a curated record.
CAUUAAAUAACUUGAGUUUAUUUAUCGUCAAGUUAAAUUCAAUAAGUUAUUUAUUACACAAGUUACAAUAAUGACGAAGUUACACCGUCGCUCAAAAGUAUCUUACAGUUUUUCAACAUUUUCGUCUUUUUUCCUAAUUCUUCAAAAGUCUUACCGAGCGACUUACACAAAGUGACCGAAUUAUUUAUAAACUUUGAAAAUAUACGGAGUGAUUCAUAUAAAAUGAUCGAUAUUGAAUUUUUCUUAAUGCUUUUAAUGCUAUCGGAUAAAACAAAUGUAACAACAAAUUACUGUUAAGAAAUUUUAUGAAGAAUAUAGAACAACAUAGUACGCUUAUGAUUAUGUAUCGCUUCGACUAUUUACAGAACUAUGCACAAGAUUGUUGUAAAGUACUAGUAGAGUGAUUCCAAAGAAUAAACACUCGUCUGAAUGCCAUUGCUCAUAAUAAUUAAAAAAAAGAUAAGAUUACACUUAUGAUACAUUUUUUAGGCCCAAAUCAGUCUAUCUUCAAUAGUAUCUUUUCUUCUCCACUUCUAGCGUUUGAUAGAGGUAUUGCUUCUUCCGUAUCUUUAUGAUACUUGUAUCAUAGAAUCAGUAACGAAUGGAUUAGAUGAUUUAAACCAUUUAAAAAUAGUACUCUCAUGAUAUCUCUUAAUGGAUCAACCUAAUGGUGUCCCCAUACACUCUAAAUGGUCUCUUCCUGAUCUUAUAUAAGUCGGUUGCUUCUCGCUGAGAAGCAAGUUUGAGAUUUGACUUGCUUAAGUGCUAUUACUCGUUGUUGUGCUCGGGAAACUCCAUCGAACGAAGUCAUGAAAUUUAUUCUAUUUUUCUUGUUAAUCGCCGUUGGACAAUAUGCAGAAGUGACAUGUUUUGUGCCUUUCAACUAUGGAGAUAUAUUGUCCCAAUCAAUUAGACAACUUAGACAAGAAGUAGAUGAAACAGCCGUAGAUAUCCAGUAUAGGUUAUACACUGUAGCCAUUGAAAUCUUUGCGAAUGCUAUUUUUUCUUUACGGGAUAAAGCGCACCAAAACUAUGUAUACCUUGUUGAGUUGAUAAAUUACUACAAAGAAGGUAGGUUCUUGAAGUGCACUGAGACAAUGUUAACACAACAUACACAUAUAUAAUAAAAAUAAAUAUACAAAAAUUAGGCACUUAAUUAUAACUUUAUUUUAUUAUAGCUCUUUUGUGUAUCAAAAACAAUCCAUCACAACUACUAGCAGCUAUUAGUAACAUCACAAUAACUUACGAGAGGCAGAAAGGUGGGGUUAUGAUCGUUAAACUAAAAAAUCAAGGAGAGCAAGUAUCUGAAGAUAAAUCGUUUGAAUCAUCAAAAAAUGAUGGAAAUUAAAACGUCAAUAUUAUUACUACUAAAGCAAAAUUUUCUUCUAUCAUCGUGGAAGACAACUAGGUACUCGACUAUCAAGAGCGAACAUCGAUUGUUAAUAACAAUAAGAAAUGAUGUAAUGAAAGAUCACACAAAAAUAAAGAAUCAAAUGAUUCUCCAAACCACAAUCUCAGAAGCACCCUAAAAUAAUAAGAUGAAAAAAAAAUAACGUGUUAUCAAAGAAUAGUUAAAGAAAUAACGAAAAGGAAGGAAACCGGAGCUGCCUCUCCGGUGAACUUUGAUAUGGAACCUAAUCUGUGUUCAAAAAACGACGAUAAUAAGUAUAUGAUAAGAAGACAAAGAAAAUUUAAAAGCAUCUAUAACAAUAAAGUUAUUUAACUGUGUCAAAAAUAUUAUAGAGACUAUAUAAUAUUUUCUCAAUAUGUAUUUAACAUAUAAUAAAUUUGGCUAUAAUUAAUUUUGAA